UUUUUUUUCAGCUGCAGCCUGGGGCAUGUGGGAUUUGAAUUCCCUGACCAGGGAUGGAAGCGUGGAGUCUUAACUGCUGGACUGCCAGGGAAGUCCCAAGAAUGGCCUUGUUGAUAAUUGUUGAAGCUGGAGAUGUGAAGUGUUUAAAACAGCCUAGAUACUAAGAGGUAAUGAAAUGGAAAAGAACGGACAAACGACAAGAAGCUUUAAAAAGGGGCCGCCACGGGGACAUCUCUGCACGAGGCUUGGCUGCUGUAUUUGGAAGCUCUAUGGACCCCUCUAGAAAACACUGGCCAACUUUACUUCAGUGUCUUCAAGUCUGGUCAUAGUCCCCCCUGGCAUUUUCUAACCUGGUUUUAACUGCCCUGCCACCUCUUUCAUAAAAUAUCCAUUUUCUCGGACUUCCCUGGCGGUCCAGUGGCUAAGACUCUUUGCUCCCAAUGCAGGGGGCCCAGGAUCGAUCCCUGGUCAGGGAACUAAGAUUCCAUGGACCGCAACUAAGGGUUCGCAUACCAGACUGCAGAUCCCAUGUGCUGCCAACUUAGACUCGACACAGCCACGUAGAGCAUUCUGGAGUGCCUUUAGUGAAAUUCCCUGCUGCUGCUAAGUCACUUCAGUCAUGUCUGACUCUGUGUGACCCCAUAGACCCAUAGCCCACCAGGCUCCUCUGUCCCUGGGAUUCUCCAGAUGGUGCUGCCUACCUGCACGAUUUCAAC
Bos taurus (domestic cattle) is the source of this 716-nucleotide long non-coding RNA. NCBI's taxonomy places the organism in Eukaryota, Metazoa, Chordata, Mammalia, Artiodactyla, Bovidae. The record is from Ensembl.